GGGGCAGUGGCGAAAUGGUAUACGCGGGAGACUUAAAAUCUCCUAUCCGUAAGGAUGUGCGGGUUCGAGUCCCGCCUGCCCCA
This 83-nucleotide transfer RNA is filed under the name Myxococcales bacterium. RNAcentral describes it as "tRNA-Leu". It matches the Rfam family "tRNA". Rfam says of the family: Transfer RNA (tRNA) molecules are approximately 80 nucleotides in length. Their secondary structure includes four short double-helical elements and three loops (D, anti-codon, and T loops). RNAcentral also lists the same sequence under 2 other names. Lineage: Bacteria; Pseudomonadati; Myxococcota; Myxococcia; Myxococcales. The record is from RNAcentral.